AUAACGUUUCAAUAGGGAAACAGCCCUCCAUUUGUAGACUUAUACAGGGCAUUCGCUUGGCCAGACCUCCUAACCCCAGAUACUCUAAUUUCUGGGAUGUUUCCCAGGUUUUUUUUCCUUCUUGGAAUCUUGGCCUUUACUUUUCGAGCAGACCCUCCCUCUGCAUGACGCGUUGUGUUCGAUAUUAUAUGGAUACCACGGUUACGCUGCAUUCCCCCUUAGGACCUCUCCUGGUCUCUUAUGUCAGACUGCACAAACCGAUCUCCUCCCCCACAUUUGCAUGGUGGAUCAGAUGGCUUGUUAUCCUGGCUGGGAUUGACCCAUCCUUUGGAGCACACUCAGUCAGGGGAGCGGCCGCAUCCUCUGCCUUUCGAGUAGUCAGUUCCCUUUCUGACAUCCUAUCCGUUUCGUACCUUCUAUUUCAAACCUAGGCCACAUGCUGCUUCCUCUAUCAUACAGGAGCGGUAAAACAGCAAAUAUGAUGCCUCCUGUCUUGCCAUAAAUCAGGGAUUAUUCUAGCUUUAGUGAAGAAAUAAUCUAAAUGUUAUUAACGAACGGAGGCGAAUAUUUUCCCUCCCUUUAAAUCUCCUAUUCCCACCCUUUGAGGGAAGUUAUUAAAUAGUUGGGUACAUAUCCGUUCCAGCUUAGUUUUAUGCACCAUAUGCCAUAGGCAACACAAUCUGGUAAUCAUAUUGAAGAAUUAUUAUAUUCUCACCAUACUUACUAUUGAUGGUAUGUUAAUGAUUAAGGUUAACCAUAGGUAAUUAAUAGACUUGAUUUUCUCUGGUAAGAGAAUCUAUACUUUCACGUAAUUCUCUCUCCUUUCUUCUAGUGUGAAGAUUUUCUACGGUCGUGAGCCUACAGCUCAACAGUUCUCGGUUUACAGGGUUGACCAACAACAGGACCUUCUGUUUGGUCCAUUGCAAAUGAAGUUAUUCUGUUUACAUGACUGAUCUAUGCUAGUCUCGGCUACAGCAAGAAAGAGGAGUUUGGAGGAGCUUGAUGACAUUCUAUAAUAUUGUUGUACACUCUGAUAGGUUGAAUUUUUUUUACAUUGUUGUUAACAGUUUCUUUGCUGUUAAGUUAAGAAAGAUUAAGCAACUAUUCGCCUCCUGUCGCUAAUAAAAUUUAGAUUAUUCCUUCACUCAAGCUAAAAUAAUUCCUAAUUAUUUGCAGAAGCCAUUUACUGCAUUCCAUUGAUGACAAUAGCGGGAGUGUGACUAUAAAGGCCAAUUUGUGUUACUCUAUUUAAGAACAUAUAGUUGAGUUUGUAAAAUCCCUUCAACGGGCAGUAAUAAAACUUAGUAAGGGUCUUCAACAAAACAGGAUAAAGUAAAAAUGUGACAAAAUAAUAUGGUUUGUAUGUCAGCUUCUAUACUGAAAUGUGUGGAAUUAAAAAUGAAUAAGCCACUAAUUACCAAGUAAAUCAGAAUUCUUCUACAUUUACAAACGUAUAG
Pelobates cultripes (western spadefoot toad) is the source of this 1457-nucleotide non-coding RNA. The record is from the annotation of a GenBank genome assembly. NCBI's taxonomy places the organism in Eukaryota, Metazoa, Chordata, Amphibia, Anura, Pelobatidae.